Molecule: transfer RNA, 64 nt
Filed under: Auritibicen bihamatus
Lineage: Eukaryota; Metazoa; Arthropoda; Insecta; Hemiptera; Cicadidae
Description: tRNA-Cys
Source: RNAcentral
AACCUUGUAGUUAAAAAAAUAAUAUUAAAAUGCAAUUUUAAAGUUGAGCAAAAAUCUAAGGUUU